GCAUCGAUAACAUCGUCAAGUUCGUGAUUGAGGCCAGUGAUGAACUCAUACACGCGUUCGUUUUCAAGCUUCUUUUUAUUUUUUUACUUAACACUGUCUCCGAGGCAUUUCCAAUCUUCCUCGCUACUGAGGUCCAGUUCAUGCCAGAGAGAGGUCAUCUCUAACUAAUAUUCAGUAAAGUUUAUUCCUCCUUGUUUAGUAUGCCAUAACCAAGUCUUUAGUUCAAAAAUUUGAGAUGAAUUUUCUGAGUGUGAAUAUAUCUCUUUGACAACGUCCUACACGUUCUUCGCGAUCGGCAGGAAGAGAUACGUUUUCCUAAUUGACGGCACCAUGGAAUUUAUCGACCAUGCUAUAACCAUGGAGUUUUUCGAAUUUCUAUUUUUGCAAGAGAACUACAUUAGUUGGCUUUUUGGUUACACCUGUUGGGUAACUUAGCUUUCAUUUGCCAUCAAUUACCAAUUUUAUUGAUUGAACACAUUCUCUGAAGUUUCUUCCAUUCAAUUUCUCCAACGUAAGUUGAAAGGGAGCAUUAUCUACUUCGAUCGAGGGCAUCAUAGAAUUCAUUUUUGCCUCGCUAUGUGAGGAUUUAGAGGUCAUGGAGCCUAAACCGUUGAUAAGGACUUCCGUCAUUGAUUUCAACAUGUCUCUGAUACCCUGAAAGCAUAAAUUAUUUUCUGUAUUUCUUAUUCUUCAAAAAAUAACUAUACAUCCACUUUAUAAUACAACCGUGUGAAGAAAAAGGGAAAGAAUCCCCUAAAUUAGGAGAGAGUAAAUCACCUAAUUAUAGUCUACUAACUAUGGUAAUGUUUAAAUACGAUAAAUAAAUUAAAAUCUUUUAGGAUUUUUACAUAAAUCAUUCAAUAGAACCAUCUUGAGUAUACGAGAGAAGCCUAUUCUUAUGAUGUUAUAUGAAAAAUAGAACAUUUGCAAGGUUUGAAUAUGCAGAGUAUUCGAGGAUCAAAGAUUCUAACUAAGUGCUACAUGCAAUUCAUCUUGGUGUGAGGACAUCUUCAUGUUCUUAGAAGUUGACUAGGAUUCCUUGCAGCCAUGGCAUUGCUUCAAUACUCUCUCGUAGCAUCUAUUUUAUCAAGAACUAUGUUGAUGAUGUUUACAAGAAGGAUGCAUAUACUCGAACUUACACACUUUCCAUUUUCCCAAUCACAGGUUCAAAUUCGUGGCCAAAUCUAGGACUAAAUCCAUUGACUCCUCAAGAGUACACUAAGAGGGCAAGAAGACCAAAAAAGAAUAGGAUGAAUGAGGUGAAAGAACGGUCAACACCAAGUAGCACAACGACAUCCACUAGAAUGUCCUUGAGAAAAGGCAUGGCGAUGAAAUAUAGAUUAUGUGGUGGGGGUAGGGAACAACAAAUGAAAAUGUAUUGAAAGGCAACCAUAGCUGCAAAACAAAUCAAAUUUUAGUUUUGAGUCUUUUUUUUUUUUUUAAAUGAAGUUUUGGACAAAAAAUUUGUAGCCAAUUUUUUAAUAGGUGGUUAGUAAAUUUGAAGGAUUGAAUGACCUUGGUGAUCUUACAAAGAAAUUAGUUAUGAUUAAAAAAAUAAAAUAAAAAGUAAGGUAUAUUCAUUGGUUUAACAAUCUCC
This 1597-nucleotide long non-coding RNA is filed under the name Olea europaea (common olive). Its description in RNAcentral is "long non-coding RNA (OEUR_LNC004863)". The record is from RNAcentral. Lineage: Eukaryota; Viridiplantae; Streptophyta; Magnoliopsida; Lamiales; Oleaceae.